RNAcentral lists this ribosomal RNA (1317 nucleotides) under Boeremia exigua var. pseudolilacis. Its description in RNAcentral is "partial large subunit ribosomal RNA". It matches the Rfam family "Eukaryotic large subunit ribosomal RNA", at positions 76 to 1412 of the family's 3401-position model. Lineage: Eukaryota; Fungi; Ascomycota; Dothideomycetes; Pleosporales; Didymellaceae. RNAcentral also lists the same sequence under 1 other name. The record is from RNAcentral.
UGCCCUAGUAACGGCGAGUGAAGCGGCAACAGCUCAAAUUUGAAAUCUGGCGUCUUUGGCGUCCGAGUUGUAAUUUGCAGAGGGCGCUUUGGCAUUGGCAGCGGUCCAAGUUCCUUGGAACAGGACGUCACAGAGGGUGAGAAUCCCGUACGUGGUCGCUAGCCUUUACCGUGUAAAGCCCCUUCGACGAGUCGAGUUGUUUGGGAAUGCAGCUCUAAAUGGGAGGUAAAUUUCUUCUAAAGCUAAAUACUGGCCAGAGACCGAUAGCGCACAAGUAGAGUGAUCGAAAGAUGAAAAGCACUUUGGAAAGAGAGUUAAAAAGCACGUGAAAUUGUUGAAAGGGAAGCGCUUGCAGCCAGACUUGCCUGUAGUUGCUCAUCCGGGUUUUUACCCGGUGCACUCUUCUAUAGGCAGGCCAGCAUCAGUUUGGGCGGUUGGAUAAAGGUCUCUGUCACGUACCUCCUCUCGGGGAGAACUUAUAGGGGAGACGUAAUGCAACCAGCCUGGACUGAGGUCCGCGCAUCUGCUAGGAUGCUGGCGUAAUGGCUGUAAGCGGCCCGUCUUGAAACACGGACCAAGGAGUCUAACAUCUAUGCGAGUGUUUGGGUGUCAAGCCCGAGCGCGUAAUGAAAGUGAACGGAGGUGGGAACCUUUCGGGGUGCACCAUCGACCGAUCCUGAUGUCUUCGGAUGGAUUUGAGUAAGAGCAUAGCUGUUGGGACCCGAAAGAUGGUGAACUAUGCUUGAAUAGGGUGAAGCCAGAGGAAACUCUGGUGGAGGCUCGCAGCGGUUCUGACGUGCAAAUCGAUCGUCAAAUUUGGGCAUAGGGGCGAAAGACUAAUCGAACUAUCUAGUAGCUGGUUCCUGCCGAAGUUUCCCUCAGGAUAGCAGUAACGUUUUCAGUUUUAUGAGGUAAAGCGAAUGAUUAGAGGCCUGGGGGUUGAAACAACCUUCACCUAUUCUCAAACUUUAAAUAUGUAAGAAGUCCUUGUUACUUAAUUGAACGUGGACAGUUGAAUGUAUCGUUACUAGUGGGCCAUUUUUGGUAAGCAGAACUGGCGAUGCGGGAUGAACCGAACGCGGGGUUAAGGUGCCAGAAUAUACGCUCAUCAGACACCACAAAAGGUGUUAGUUCAUCUAGACAGCAGGACGGUGGCCAUGGAAGUCGGAAUCCGCUAAGGAGUGUGUAACAACUCACCUGCCGAAUGAACUAGCCCUGAAAAUGGAUGGCGCUCAAGCGUAUUACCCAUACCCCGCCGCUGGGGCAAGAUUUAAGCCCCAGCGAGUAGGCAGGCGUGGAGGUCCGUGACGAAGCCUG